Molecule: long non-coding RNA, 783 nt
Organism: Hemicordylus capensis (graceful crag lizard)
Lineage: Eukaryota; Metazoa; Chordata; Lepidosauria; Squamata; Cordylidae
Exons: 3
Source: RefSeq, a predicted model, not a curated record
UGAAAAAAAAACUCCGGGGCUUCUACUUUCUCCAAAGGUGAAGCAGAUUCACUCUUCAGAUACCCCGAGGCAUAGAGCCAUGUGUGAAAAACCUCUUGGUGCCAGCAGUAAAAAGGUGUCAUAGCAAUAAAAUAAGAGAAGUGGCGAUAAAGACUUCCUAAUUCUUGGAAUAAAACUGUUGGGGAAGGAAAUCCGUGGGCAGAAGGUGACAAAGAAAACUAAGUUCUGGCAGAAGAACCCAAAUACACUCAGAUAUUGUUUAUCAUAAUGGCUCUUGUCAUUCAUGAACUCGUUUUUGACAGGAUAUAUUUCAAAAUGAAGAUCAUGCUAGGCUCAGCAACAUUCAACUGAUGUGUCAAUGGGAGUUCUAGUCUUAGUCUCAGAAUUAUGUUGUCUCCAGGCUAUUCCCUGGUGCUUGACAUAGUGUUUGUAGUGUUUGAAGAAACCGUCUGAGAAAAUUCUCCAGUCUUUUUCCUUGGGAGAAAUCCUGAAUUACUCUUCAAAAUUGUUUCUCCACGGCAGGAACUCUAAAAUACUCCCCAACUUUCAAAUUUCUAGUCCCAGUUUAACAACUGAAACUGUUAAAUCUUAGUCUGGCCAUGCAUACAUCACUGGUAGGAUAUGACCAUUUAAGAGGGCCAAACUUCAAGCAUUCUUUACUUCAGUGUCACUUUUAGUCUCCUAAACACAUAAACCUAGUUGCCAUGUAAUACACAAUCUGCAUUUGUAAUCGCUGUUUUAUAUACUGCAGUGUCAACAUUCUAAAAUUAAAUGUUUUACAUU